This 1502-nucleotide ribosomal RNA is filed under the name Pseudomonas aeruginosa. RNAcentral's name for it is "bacterial LSU rRNA". It matches the Rfam family "Bacterial large subunit ribosomal RNA", at positions 1067 to 2556 of the family's 2925-position model. The record is from RNAcentral. Lineage: Bacteria; Pseudomonadati; Pseudomonadota; Gammaproteobacteria; Pseudomonadales; Pseudomonadaceae.
UAAACGAUGUGGGAAGGCUUAGACAGCUAGGAGGUUGGCUUAGAAGCAGCCAUCCUUUAAAGAAAGCGUAAUAGCUCACUAGUCGAGUCGGCCUGCGCGGAAGAUGUAACGGGGCUCAAACCACACACCGAAGCUGCGGGUGUCACGUAAGUGACGCGGUAGAGGAGCGUUCUGUAAGCCUGUGAAGGUGAGUUGAGAAGCUUGCUGGAGGUAUCAGAAGUGCGAAUGCUGACAUGAGUAACGACAAUGGGUGUGAAAAACACCCACGCCGAAAGACCAAGGGUUCCUGCGCAACGUUAAUCGACGCAGGGUUAGUCGGUUCCUAAGGCGAGGCUGAAAAGCGUAGUCGAUGGGAAACAGGUUAAUAUUCCUGUACUUCUGGUUACUGCGAUGGAGGGACGGAGAAGGCUAGGCCAGCUUGGCGUUGGUUGUCCAAGUUUAAGGUGGUAGGCUGAAAUCUUAGGUAAAUCCGGGGUUUCAAGGCCGAGAGCUGAUGACGAGUCGUCUUUUAGAUGACGAAGUGGUUGAUGCCAUGCUUCCAAGAAAAGCUUCUAAGCUUCAGGUAACCAGGAACCGUACCCCAAACCGACACAGGUGGUCGGGUAGAGAAUACCAAGGCGCUUGAGAGAACUCGGGUGAAGGAACUAGGCAAAAUGGCACCGUAACUUCGGGAGAAGGUGCGCCGGCUAGGGUGAAGGAUUUACUCCGUAAGCUCUGGCUGGUCGAAGAUACCAGGCCGCUGCGACUGUUUAUUAAAAACACAGCACUCUGCAAACACGAAAGUGGACGUAUAGGGUGUGACGCCUGCCCGGUGCCGGAAGGUUAAUUGAUGGGGUUAGCGCAAGCGAAGCUCUCGAUCGAAGCCCCGGUAAACGGCGGCCGUAACUAUAACGGUCCUAAGGUAGCGAAAUUCCUUGUCGGGUAAGUUCCGACCUGCACGAAUGGCGUAACGAUGGCGGCGCUGUCUCCACCCGAGACUCAGUGAAAUUGAAAUCGCUGUGAAGAUGCAGUGUAUCCGCGGCUAGACGGAAAGACCCCGUGAACCUUUACUGUAGCUUUGCACUGGACUUUGAGCCUGCUUGUGUAGGAUAGGUGGGAGGCUUUGAAGCGUGGACGCCAGUUCGCGUGGAGCCAUCCUUGAAAUACCACCCUGGCAUGCUUGAGGUUCUAACUCUGGUCCGUAAUCCGGAUCGAGGACAGUGUAUGGUGGGCAGUUUGACUGGGGCGGUCUCCUCCUAAAGAGUAACGGAGGAGUACGAAGGUGCGCUCAGACCGGUCGGAAAUCGGUCGCAGAGUAUAAAGGCAAAAGCGCGCUUGACUGCGAGACAGACACGUCGAGCAGGUACGAAAGUAGGUCUUAGUGAUCCGGUGGUUCUGUAUGGAAGGGCCAUCGCUCAACGGAUAAAAGGUACUCCGGGGAUAACAGGCUGAUACCGCCCAAGAGUUCAUAUCGACGGCGGUGUUUGGCACCUCGAUGUCGGCUCAUCACAUCCUGGGGCGAA